AGAUAGAGCUUUCCCUUCGGGGGACAAAGUGACAGGUGGUGCAUGGUUGUCGUCAGCUCGUGUCGUGAGAUGUUGGGUUAAGUCCCGCAACGAGCGCAACCCUUAAGCUUAGUUGCCAGCAUUAAGUUGGGCACUCUAAGUUGACUGCCGGUGACAAACCGGAGGAAGGUGGGGAUGACGUCAAAUCAUCAUGCCCCUUAUGAUUUGGGCUACACACGUGCUACAAUGGACAAUACAAAGGGCAGCUAAACCGCGAGGUCAUGCAAAUCCCAUAAAGUUGUUCUCAGUUCGGAUUGUAGUCUGCAACUCGACUACAUGAAGCUGGAAUCGCUAGUAAUCGUAGAUCAGCAUGCUACGGUGAAUACGUUCCCGGGUCUUGUACGCACCGCCCGUCACACCACGAGAGUCUGUAACACCCGAAGCCGGUGGAGUAACCAUUUAUGGAGCUAGCCGUCGAAGGUGGGACAAAUGAUUGGGGUGAAGUCGUAACAAGGUAGCCGUAUCGGAAGGUGCGG
This 515-nucleotide ribosomal RNA is filed under the name uncultured bacterium. Its description in RNAcentral is "bacterial SSU rRNA". It matches the Rfam family "Bacterial small subunit ribosomal RNA", at positions 1004 to 1517 of the family's 1533-position model. The record is from RNAcentral.